RNAcentral lists this ribosomal RNA (862 nucleotides) under uncultured bacterium. RNAcentral describes it as "bacterial SSU rRNA". It matches the Rfam family "Bacterial small subunit ribosomal RNA", at positions 1 to 917 of the family's 1533-position model. The record is from RNAcentral.
UAGAGUUUGAUCCUGGCUCAGAGCGAACGCUGGCGGCAGGCCUAACACAUGCAAGUCGAACGGACCCUUCGGGGUUAGUGGCGGACGGGUGAGUAACACGUGGGAACGUGCCUUUAGGUUCGGAACAACUCAGGGAAACUUGAGCUAAUACCGAAUGUGCCCUUCGGGGGAAAGAUUUAUCGCCUUUAGAGCGGCCCGCGUCUGAUUAGGUAGUUGGUGGGGUAAAGGCCUACCAAGCCUACGAUCAGUAGCUGGUCUGAGAGGAUGAUCAGCCACAUUGGGACUGAGACACGGCCCAAACUCCUACGGGAGGCAGCAGUGGGGAAUCUUGCGCAAUGGGCGAAAGCCUGACGCAGCCAUGCCGCGUGAAUGAUGAAGGUCUUAGGAUUGUAAAAUUCUUUCACCGGGGACGAUAAUGACGGUACCCGGAGAAGAAGCCCCGGCUAACUUCGUGCCAGCAGCCGCGGUAAUACGAAGGGGGCUAGCGUUGCUCGGAAUUACUGGGCGUAAAGGGAGCGUAGGCGGACAGUUUAGUCAGAGGUGAAAGCCCAGGGCUCAACCCUGGAAUUGCCUUUGAUACUGGCUGUCUUGAGUAUGGGAGAGGUAAGCGGAACUCCGAGUGUAGAGGUGAAAUUCGUAGAUAUUCGGAAGAACACCAGUGGCGAAGGCGGCUUACUGGCCCAUUACUGACGCUGAGGCUCGAAAGCGUGGGGAGCAAACAGGAUUAGAUACCCUGGUAGUCCACGCCGUAACGAUGAGAGCUAGUUGUCGGCAUGCAUGCAUGUCGGUGACGCAGCUAACGCAUUAAGCUCUCCGCCUGGGGAGUACGGUCGCAAGAUUAAAACUCAAAGGGAUUGACGGG